This is a long non-coding RNA of Raphanus sativus (radish), 4570 nucleotides long. RefSeq lists it as uncharacterized. The record is from RefSeq and is a predicted model, not a curated record. NCBI's taxonomy places the organism in Eukaryota, Viridiplantae, Streptophyta, Magnoliopsida, Brassicales, Brassicaceae. The transcript has 6 exons.
CUUCAGCUUCACGAUCGACGUGCUGUGGUUAUAUAGAUUUGAAUUUCAUUUUUUCGUUCGCGACGGAAUCUUAGAUCUCGAAACUGUAAUCAAUUUCUCUGUUGAAGUUUCUCGCUCUGAGUAUGUUUGUGGUGUUGAUAUGUAUACAGAAAGGAGGUGGCAGCGCUGGAGGCCUGUGGCGGCAUCUAGGCCAUUUAACACCGUCGAUAUUCCAUUGUUCAUUGCUCUUAAUGUGUGAAUUGGGUGGCAGGACUCUUCAAAGAAACAGAGAGUGAAUUGCUAAUGAGAUACUGCAAUAUCUGGCGUUUGCUAGUUGGUUGGGUAUAGUUUUGUGUCUCGUAUUCAAUGUCAUUGCAGUGAUAGUCUGCUGGAUUAAAGGCGGAGGUGUCAAAAUCUUUCUUCUUGCCACGAUCUAUGCGCUGAUUGGAUGUCCAAUUUCAUAUCUAUUUGGUAUAGGCCUCUCUACCGAGCUAUGAGGACUGACAGCGCUCUGAAGUUCGGUUGGUUUUUCUUCUUCUACCUGAUUCGCAUUGGCUUCUGCAUAUUUGCCGCCAUUGCUCCUCCCAUCUUUUUCCGCGGCUUGUCAUUAAUGUAAGUCUUCUUCUAAUCGUUGCUCCUUUUGUCUUUCUAGUUCUCGAGCUUUGCAAUGCUUCAUGCAAGGGCUUCACUUAGGAAGUUUUAAGUUGUGUUGAUUGAUUUGAAAUGCCAAGCUGUAACUAGGAAGAGAGCUAGAAAAGCUAAGAAUCUUAGUUAAGUGUUUCGUUUUGAGAUUUUAUUCAGGUUUUCGUUUUGAGAUACUUUUUUUACAUGUCUUGGGGGAUUUUCAAAUCAAACAUUGUUUUCUUUCUUUUUGGUUUUGUUUUGAUGUUUUUGUCUUUCACUUGAAACCCAAAAAGAUCAAUAGGUACACACUAAUCUAAUAGUGUUGUGCCAGAUUCUUAUUUGGGAACAUUGUCCCGUUGCUGCCUCUAUAAGACCAUCCCCCUAGUAAGAUUGGUCGUGCAUGUGAUAAGGAAAGAUGUUAGGGGAUGAUGGCAAAUAAGACCCACACGGCUCUCUAUGGUCUUUAAAGACUUUACUUACCCACAGCUUGAUUCAAAAAUCUGUUUUCAGAUGUUAGAAGGGAGACCCUACAGUUUGAGAAAGUCUUAAAGACAAUAGGACUACAAACUGAAAACAGAUUCUUGAUUGGGAACAUUGUCCCGUUGCUGCCUCUAUAAGACCAUCCCCUAGUAAGAUUGGUAGUGCAGGAAAGAUGUUAGGGGAUGGCAAAUAAGACCCACACGGCUCUCUAUGGUCUUUAAAGACUUUACUUACCCACGGCUUGACUCAAAAAUCUGUUUUCAGAUGUUAGAAGGGAGACCCUACGGUUUGAGAAAGUCUUAAAGACAAUAAGACUACAAACUGAAAACAGAUUCUUGAUUGGGAACAUUUUCCCGUUGCUGCCUCUAUAAGACCAUCCCCUAGUAAGAUUGGUAGUGCAGGAAAGACGUUAGGGGAUGGCAAAUAAGACCACCACGGCUCUGUGGUCUUUAAAGAUUAAAAGACUUUACUUACCCACGGCUUGACUCACACUGUUUUCAGAUGUUAGAAGGGAGAGAGACCCUACGGUUUGAGAAAGUCUUAAAGACAAUAAGACUAUAAACUGAAAACAGAUUCUUGAUUGUGUACUACCCACGGCUUAUAAAUUCUCUGUCUUUAGACAGAUUCAAUGACAAUGGGACUGAAUCUGUUUUCAGAUAUUAGAAAGAGAAUUGGGUUAAACGACUUUGACGGUUUGAGAAAAGUCUUAAAAGUCCACACUGUCUCUAUAGGUCUUAAAGACAAGAGUCUUUACUUACUUACCCACGGCUUGACUCAAAAAUCUGUUUUCAGAUGUUAGAAGGGCGACUCAACGGCUUUAGAUAGUCUUAAAGACAAUAUGACUACAAAAACUGAAAACAGAUUCUUGAGUGUGUACUACCCACGGCUUAUAAAUUCUUUUGUCUUUAGACAGAUUCAAUGACAAUGGGACAGAAUCUGUUUUCAGAUAUUAGAAGAGAAUUGGGUUAAAAAGACUUUGACGGUUUGAGAAAGUCUUAAAAGUCCACACUAUCUCUAUAGGUCUUAAAGACAAGAGUCAGUUACUUACUUACCCACGGCUUGACUCAAAAAUCUGUUUUCAGAGGUUAGAAGGGAGACGCAACGGCUUUAGAUAGUCUUAAAGACAAUAAGACUACAAAAACUGAAAACAGAUUCUUGAUUGUGUACUACCCACGGCUUAUAAAUUCUUUGUCUUUAGACAGAUUCAAUGACAAUGGGACAGAAUCUGUUUGAGAAAGUCUUAAAAGUCCACACUGUCUCUAUAGGUCUUAAAGACAAGAGUCAGUUACUUACUUACCCACGGCUUGACUCAAAAAUCUGUUUUCAAAUGUUAGAAGGGAGACCCUACGGUUUGAGAAAAUAGUCUUAAAGACAAUAAGACUACAAACUGAAAACAGAUUCUUGAUGAUUGUGUUCUACCCACGGCUUAUAAAUUCUCUGUCUUUAAGACAGAGUCAAUGACAAUGGGACAGUUUGGAGGCUUGUCCGAUUCUAAGAGAAAUUCAUUGGACGAUGGCAAACAAAACACAUGACUCAAUAGUCUUAAAGACAAGAGACUGUAUGAAACGUUUCCACAGCUCUGACGGUUUGAGAAUGUCUUCAAAGUCCAUACUGUCUCAGUAGUUCUUAAAGACUUCACUCACCUACGGCUUGACUACAAGUCUGUUUUCGGAUAGAAUGGAGAACCAACUCGGUUCGGUUUGAGAAACUCAUAAGGACAAAAAGACUACAAACUGAAACCCUCUUGAUUGUGUAUUAGAAGGGAAUGGAGUUAAAGACUUAACGGUUUGAGAAAGUCUAACAAACUGAAAACAGAUUCUUGACUGUAUCACCCACGGCUGGCUUAUAAAAGUAGACAAUGGAUCGGUGAAAAGACCUUUUGGAUGGAAACAUUAUAGGAAAUACAAUGACAGUGGGCAGUUUUAAGACUGGAUGGAAUAUCAACGACCAGCUUCUUAGAACAUGUCAUUAGACAAGUUCAUUCACACGACUCUGUGGUCUUAAAGACCAAAAAAAGAAUUUACUUACCCACGGCUUGCCCCAAAUCUGUUUCCUUGAAUGAGAUGGAGUUUAACGACACGAGAAAGUCUCAAGACAAAGACUAAGAGCUGAAAACAGAUUGCUUAUCUUACCCACCCACGUCUUAAAAAAGUUGAUCAUGGAGUGGUUAAAAGAUUUGUUGGAUCGGAAAGACAUUGACAAUGGGGCAGUUUCAAGACUGGAUGAAUAGAAAUUAACGACCAGCUUCUUAGAACAAGUCACUAGGGGAUGAUGGCAAGAGACCCUUGUGGUCUUAAAAGACAAUAUUACUUACCCACGGCUUGACUCGAAUUUGUUUUUCAGUUACUUGAAUGUGAGAUGGAGCUUAACGACAGCCCCACAGCCGGUUCUUGAAAGCAAGUACUUACCCCCCACGUCUUAUAAGAAUCUAAAGACAAAGUCACCUAUCGGUUAAGAUUCUUUAGACAGAUUCAAAGACAAUGGGGAAGCUUGUUUGGUCGGAUAAAGGAAUAGCUUCUUAAAACCAAGUCAUUGGAGGAUGGCUGGCAGAUAAAGACCCAAACGGCUCUCUAGUCUUAAAAAGACUUUAAUUACCCACGGCUUGACUUAGAUCUGUUUUCAGAUAUAUUAGAAGGGAAUGGAGGUACAUACAAACGGUUUGAGAGUCUUAAAGACAAAAGAAAACAAACUGAAAACAGAUUUCUUACCUUACUACACCCACGGCUUACAAAGUAGACAAUGGAUCGAUUAAAAGACUUGUUGUUGGAUGGAGACAUAAUAGGCAAAAGAAAAUGACAAAUAACACCACACGACUCUUAUGAUCUUGAAGACAAAAGACUUGAACUAUCUACAGCUUGACUCUUUAAGAUGGAGUUUAACGACAAGAAAGUCUUUAAGAUUUUAAACUGAAAACAAGUCUUGACUGUACCACUUAUGUCAUGAAGACAAAGACUAAUUCAUGAUCUGAGAAGGAACAGUGGCAAGCAAGCGGCAUAUUACUUGAUCUAAAGACUAACUUUAUUUUUUGAUUUCCUCAGAUUUGUGCUUCAGAAGGUGUGUUCAAAUCGUUAGAGAUUCUGAGAAGAUUUCAAGUGUAUCAGACUUCUGCUGACAGGUGUAUAAUUAAACUUUGGUUGUUGUAUGAGAGCGUCUUGGAUUUUACAUGUAGUUUAUAGUUUUAUUUGCUUUAACUCGGCACGCUGCAGGGUUAUCCAUUUAAUCCUUUUGAUUUCCUAUUUGCAGGUGUAUAAUUAAACUUUGGUUGUUGUAUGAGAGCGUCUUGGAUUUUACAUGUAGUUUAUAGUUUUUAUUUGCUUUAACUCGGCACUCUGCAGGGUUAUCCAUUUAAUCCUUUUGAUUUCCUCUUUGCAGUUUUAUAAUUAAACUUUGGUUGUUGUAUGAGAGCGUCUUGCAUUUUACAUUAUGCAUCAAUUUUUGGUUGUUGUAUGUGCCAUCUGCAUCACCUUAUACACGUUUCCAUUUUGCA